UGUAUAUUAUAGGAGUACUGCAGUUGCCGCCUGACAGCUGCUAAAAGCCGCAUCGCCAUUGUUAUCUUAAUGGUAUGGCGGUAGUUUUUAAGAUCGCAGCUCGUGCUGCGUGAACAGCGUUUACUUUAGUUUUCUUCCUUGUUUUUGACAUUCCAUGUGUUCGUUUGGUCAUAGGGAGGUCUUAUCAAUCGCAUUUUUCGUAGCCUACGAAGAGCGACGCGAAGGUUCGUUAAAAGAAUACCUAUAACAACCUGACAGCUGGCAUGGCGACGAGCGGCGCGAGCGCUGACGGCAGUUUGACGCGAACGACGGCGGAGGAAACGGAGGCAUAUUUUGCUUGGGUUGAAUACGUGCAGUCUGUCGCAGAAUCGGCAGAUAUGGAGGAAAAGGUACGAAGCGCCGUGGACAAAACUAAGGCUUGUAGGCGCAAGUACACCUGCGAAAUAGCCGAGGCUUUAAAGGAGGAGAAGCGCCUGAAAGCUCAAAUCGCCUACUCUAAGGUAGUUGCGACAAACAAAGACAACCUGGCGACACUGGAUACACACGGUGACAUUGGUGAUCUGAGGGAUGAUUUUGCUGAACAGAGCAGGAAGCACUUGGAUGCUGGUGUCGUGGUCAUCAGAGAUGCCAAGCCUGCCAAUAGAGGUUGCCGUAUACGGUCACCCGAGUCUUGGCGGCCAGAGCGUCUCAAGGUCGUGCCGGUGCCUCGGCAGUUGUAUACUCUUAGACAAAGAGAAGCUGGGCUCAAGUCUGUCGGCGAUGGCUGCGAAGGGUGGAGCGUUAAAGCACCUGGCUCUUGCUGAUGCGUCAGAGGCACGCUGGAAAUUUGCUAAAGGGGUCCUGGUCGGUGGACAGGAGCUUUCCAGGAUGUCAUCAUUGAAGAAGGAGAUCACAGAGACCUGCAAGGCACUGGAAUUCUUAAAAGCAGUACAAGACGUGUGUCAAGACGAGACUUCAGAUUCUCAGUACAACACUGUUCUGGAUCUUGAAAGUUUGAACCUGUCGUCAUGAUCCUGGAACUGAGAACAUAAGAAUGAGUAUGUUAUUUGCAGCCUUUACUUUGUAAGUUAAAUAAUAAAUAUGGUUUGGUGCUGGCGCAGCACUGUGUUUGAAA
Dermacentor andersoni is the source of this 1114-nucleotide RNA transcript. RefSeq lists it as uncharacterized. The record is from RefSeq and is a predicted model, not a curated record. Lineage: Eukaryota; Metazoa; Arthropoda; Arachnida; Ixodida; Ixodidae.